GACGAACGCUGGCGGCGUGCCUAAUACAUGCAAGUAGAACGCUGAAGGAGGAGCUUGCUUCUCCGGAUGAGUUGCGAACGGGUGAGUAACGCGUAGGUAACCUGCCUGGUAGCGGGGGAUAACUAUUGGAAACGAUAGCUAAUACCGCAUAACAGUAGAUGUUGCAUGACAUUUGCUUAAAAGGUGCAAUUGCAUCACUACCAGAUGGACCUGCGUUGUAUUAGCUAGUUGGUGAGGUAACGGCUCACCAAGGCGACGAUACAUAGCCGACCUGAGAGGGUGAUCGGCCACACUGGGACUGAGACACGGCCCAGACUCCUACGGGAGGCAGCAGUAGGGAAUCUUCGGCAAUGGACGGAAGUCUGACCGAGCAACGCCGCGUGAGUGAAGAAGGUUUUCGGAUCGUAAAGCUCGGUUGUAAGAGAAGAACGAGUGUGAGAGUGGAAAGUUCACACUGUGACGGUAUCUUACCAGAAAGGGACGGCUAACUACGUG
RNAcentral lists this ribosomal RNA (495 nucleotides) under uncultured bacterium. Its description in RNAcentral is "partial 16S ribosomal RNA". It matches the Rfam family "Bacterial small subunit ribosomal RNA", at positions 28 to 507 of the family's 1533-position model. The record is from RNAcentral.